RNAcentral lists this long non-coding RNA (239 nucleotides) under Elaeis guineensis (African oil palm). RNAcentral's name for it is "long non-coding RNA (EGUI_LNC041366)". The record is from RNAcentral. Lineage: Eukaryota; Viridiplantae; Streptophyta; Magnoliopsida; Arecales; Arecaceae.
GCCGGCACAUUGUAAUGAGUCUGAGAUAUAAUUUUGUACUUUAUACAUUGAUUUGAUCAAUAAAAGGGUAAGUUUAUUUUUUAUUCAAGUAUGAUGUGUCAUUGAAUCGUUCAUAAAAUUAACUUUCAAUACAUAUUCUUGAAGUAUAGAGAAUUAAAGAUAUGUAUUUAAUUCUUAAAUACUUUCGAUCAUAGAAUCAUUAGGAGGAUGGUGGUCGAUCUGGAUAGACUGAUGCACAG